GUUCCGUUAGCUCAGCUGGGAGAGCGAUUGGGUCACAACCAAUAGGUCGGCGGUUCGAGCCCGUCACGGAACACCA
RNAcentral lists this transfer RNA (76 nucleotides) under Bacillota bacterium. RNAcentral's name for it is "tRNA-Val". It matches the Rfam family "tRNA". From Rfam's summary of the family: Transfer RNA (tRNA) molecules are approximately 80 nucleotides in length. Their secondary structure includes four short double-helical elements and three loops (D, anti-codon, and T loops). Lineage: Bacteria; Bacillati; Bacillota. The record is from RNAcentral.